GUGACACAUUUCACAGUGAAAAUGUGUUCAAUUUGGUCGUGUGCACUUUCCUUGCAAAAGGUUGCUAAACGAGAGCAGCAUUCUUUGCGAACACUAAUUAAAGCUUUUCAAAUAGACUGAUUCCCUAAUCGCGUUGGAUAUAGUUUAACUGAAUACCACCUGGCAUGGGACUGCUUUGCAUUAACAAUGUAACAGCAUGAACUGUGAAACUGGACAUUUCUGCAGCUGGGUAUAGUUAUCUGGCCUACCACCUAAGCAUAUAUUUAUGGAUUUAUACGUGGGCGACAUCUUUCACAUUUUUGACAUGGUGCAGCAAUAAAAGUCUGUUUCUUAAGACAAUAUCGCCUAUCUAAAAUAGUGAAAAAGUCUCAAACCACACUAAACAAACUUUGCACUUGUGGAAAGGUGUUGAAAAAGGAUAACAAGUGGACGCAGUGACCAUGUAGACAAGUAAUCCAGAGUAAUUUAUUAUUAAAUCUGGUUUUCUUUCCAACAGCGCCACUACAGCUUGACAUCAAUGCAUUAACAGGGUCCGUGCAGGUCCUUGAAAUCCUUUAAAACCCUUGAAAUUGAAAAGUGCGUUUUCAAGGCCCUUGAAAGUCCUGGAAUUUUUUUCCUUCCUUGAAAGUCCUUGAAUUUCGUGAGCGAUGCACUCUGAUAUCGACAUUGUGACCUCCUUUCUGUGGUUGAUCGGCGUCGAUCUGACAAACUCCCCAUUUCAGAAACAAUACGCCGGCGCGAGCACACAUGGUUCCGUUUUGCAGAACUGCACGAAAAAAAAAAGGCUUCACCGCGUCAAACCACGAACGGAGCGAGAGACCAGUGACGCGCUUCGGUGCUGGCUCGGUUGCCAGUUGCUUUCCUCACCCUAUCGUUCGUUUCACUCCGCGCUCAUGGGGCUGCCUUGUCCCACUUUCACACUUACGCGCGAGGUGAACCUAGUGAAGCUAAAGAGAGCUAUAGUGGAGCAACUUUACCACUGAUGCUCAGUGCCUUUGGGUGGAGGUUUGUUAUAUUAUUUAUGAUAAUAUAAGUGCAAUAACAUUACCGUAUUUUCCGGUCUAUAAUUUGCACCUUUGUAUAAGACGCACCCCCCUCAAAACGGCAGUUUUUCCGAAAAAGAAUGUAUAAAGUUGCACCGGUGUAUAAGACGCACCUGUUCUUUCGGUAAGUGAUUUAAAAAACGUUAGUGAUGUUUCGCUCCGUGAAAGUGGGUCACACGCAAGCGUAUGGGUGCCAUAUAUUUCCACUCCAGGCGCAUUUCUGCCGUCGUGGUUGUCGCGAUGUUCCGUAUAAAGUCCAAGGGCGAUAACAUCCUCCCCACGCGCCGUAUGCUGUAUGCGCGAGUGAAGGCGUGCGACGGUGACCUGAAUCACGCACAAGGGAGAAAAGCGGAAAGGCAGCCCGGGAGGGAGGGGGUGAGGGGCUGCCUGUACUUUCGUAGCAACUGCGUAGUUUCCUCAGCGGCGCGCGCCGUAUCUUAUCUGCAGAUGGGACGACUUCGGGGUAGAGCGACUCGCGGUUGGCCUACCGCCGUUUGCGUUGCUGCUCCAUCGUUUUCGCACGGCGCUCGGGGACUUUAUCACGAGAACCUGGCAGCUCGAUUAUGCGCACAGAACCCGUAGCAAUUAACUCAACCAGCGCGCUUCACAUGGCCGUAACAUCGGAUCUGAUUUUGACGGCGAAAAAAAAAAACGUACAUAGGUCGCACCGUUCUACAAGACGAAAAAUUAAGAAAAAAAACCGUCUUAUACACUGGAAAAUACGGUAUGCUGAAUGUUUUGGAAAUAUUUCAUGAACCAACCCAGCUGAUACUGCAGAAACCCGAGCAGCUGUUGUGAGCGUUUGUUGUGUUAACUUUUAAUAUUGCGGACUUGAGAAAUGAUCAAGACAAGACAUGUUUUACAAUAUUGCAAUAUACAUCUAUUUGUUACAAUAUAAUGGAUGUGUUGCAAGACUACACUGAAUGGUUUGGAAAUAUUUGGUAAACUUGCCCAGUUAAUACUGGAGAAGUCAGAGUAGCAGUCGGGAGCAUUCAUUGUAUUUUGCGAACUUUUUUUUUUGUUAUUGUUGUAAAUUGCAAAGUGAUCAAGGCUAGACAUUAUUACAGUCAUUGGGAUAUACAUUUAUUUCUUUUUAUUUUGGUGCAAUAACCGUAUGCUGAAUGUUUUGAAUAUUUUUGGUGAACUUUACCCAGCCUAUACUGGAGAAAUCUCAGCCGCUGUUGUAGGCGUUCAUUUUGUAUUGUGAUCUUGAGAAGUCAUCAAGGCUAGACAUUUGUAUUAUCAUUGUGGUAUACAUUUAUUUAUGGUAAGUGCAAUAAAACUACUUAUUUUUGGAAAUGUUAGAGUAAAGAAGUUCUACUUUGGAUGCCGCUUUGAGUCCUUGAAAAACCUGUGACAGGUCCUGGAAAGUCCUGGAAUAUCCUUGAAUUUUUGCCUUGGAAACCUGUACGAACCCUGAAAUUUAACCAAAAUUUGCACAAUUCCUGCUCAUAGUAAAAUGUAAGAUAAGGCAUAAUUCCUUGCAUUAUACUAUUUUUAUUUAGGCUUAUCAGUGAAAAAAAGUGCAUUUCGAACCUUUUGUGUGUUUUAAUCCUUGUACAAUCAUAAGGAAAAGUGCUUUGCAAUGUGAACCACUGACAAGUUGUUUGUCAGCUUGCUCCUGGUUGUAGAUUUCAACAUUAGAUGGGGGUGCUUUUCAGUGUUUUACUAUUUUUACAUCACCAAAUUUGGCAGCUGUGAAGCAGCAAAGUAUUGAACAUUGUGGAUGUGUGAUACUAGCACCAUUAUGUAGUUUGUAUACUUGGAAAUGGCUUUUUUAAAAAUGUUUUGCUGCGUGUGUCUGCUGAAGUUUUUUUUAGACUGAUGUUGUGGUAUACAUGUGACAGACUUGCACUUGUUUAAAUUAAGCACUCUGGGUUAGGUCCUUAAUACAUUUUAUACUUUGCAGUGAAAUAUUUCACUUGCUUCAGCCUAAACCAGUGUGCUGCUAAGCUGGUUGUGGUCUGACCUACAACUGCGCCUUUUCUUUGCAGGCACAGUACAGCCUGUCCCGUGCCCAGGCAUCCUUUAAGUCGCUGGUUCAGAUCCACGAGAAAAACGGCUGGUUCACUCCUCCGAAGGAAGACGGAUGAGUGCAUUGGAGCUGCCGGAUGUACAUAAAGAAGUAAUGGCGUCUCCAUGGUCGCUGUUCCUUUCUUUCCCCCCCUUGUCAGUCUCAUUAUUUGGAUGUGUAAAAGAGGGUGAACAGAAGAGCCUGUCCACAACUUCUGGGUCGUAAAGAUAGUGCCCGCUUCGUACAAUCGGGACAGAAGCACACAUUGCGACCAAGACUGCCGCAAGCCCUCCUUUGUUUUAAAUUGUUUUGUGUAGAGUUGAUGAAAGUUCCUGUUUGUUGCACACACACAUACACGAGAGACACACACAGUUGCAUCGCUCCCCUUCCUGUGCCCAUCCCAGGGACUGCUUUGUCACACGCCCCACACUACCCAAUGGACUUCUUCCCCUGCCGAAUGUAAUGUUCUUUAUUCAUUGGUUUUCCUUUGCAGUUUCUUUUUUUUUUUUAGUGUGAUAAUAAAAUGAAAAAGAGAAGGGAGAACCAAA
Dermacentor silvarum is the source of this 3605-nucleotide long non-coding RNA. RefSeq lists it as uncharacterized. The record is from RefSeq and is a predicted model, not a curated record. Lineage: Eukaryota; Metazoa; Arthropoda; Arachnida; Ixodida; Ixodidae. The transcript is spliced from 2 exons.